RNAcentral lists this ribosomal RNA (495 nucleotides) under uncultured bacterium. Its description in RNAcentral is "bacterial SSU rRNA". It matches the Rfam family "Bacterial small subunit ribosomal RNA", at positions 899 to 1397 of the family's 1533-position model. The record is from RNAcentral.
ACUCAAAGGAAUAGACGGGGGCCCGCACAAGCAGUGGAGUAUGUGGAUUAAUUCGACGCAACGCGAAGAACCUUACCAAGGUUUGACAUCCAAAGAACCCGGUAGAAAUACCGGGGUGCCUUUCGGGGAACUUUGAGACAGGUGGUGCAUGGUUGUCGUCAGCUCGUGUCGUGAGAUGUUGGGUUAAGUCCCGCAACGAGCGCAACCCUUACGGUUAGUUGCUACGCAAGAGCACUCUAGCCGGACUGCCGUUGACAAAACGGAGGAAGGUGGGGACGACGUCAAAUCAUCAUGCCCCUUAUAUCUUGGGCUUCACACGUACUACAAUGGCGGUAAACAGCGCGCUGCGACCCUGCGAAGGGGAGCGAAUCGCUUAAAAGCCGCCUCAGUUCGGAUCGCAGGCUGCAACUCGCCUGCGUGAAGUCGGAAUUGCUAGUAAUCGCGGAUCAGCAUGCCGCGGUGAAUACGUUCCCGGGCCUUGUACACACCGCCCGU